GACGAACGCUGGCGGCGCGCCUAACACAUGCAAGUCGAACGAGCGAGAGAGAGCUUGCUUUCUUGAGCGAGUGGCGAACGGGUGAGUAACGCGUGAGGAACCUGCCUCAAAGAGGGGGACAACAGUUGGAAACGACUGCUAAUACCGCAUAUGCCCACGGUGCCGCAUGGCACAGAGGGAAAAGGAGCAAUCCGCUUUGAGAUGGCCUCGCGUCCGAUUAGCUAGUUGGUGAGGUAACGGCCCACCAAGGCGACGAUCGGUAGCCGGACUGAGAGGUUGAACGGCCACAUUGGGACUGAGACACGGCCCAGACUCCUACGGGAGGCAGCAGUGGGGAAUAUUGCACAAUGGGGGAAACCCUGAUGCAGCGACGCCGCGUGGAGGAAGAAGGUCUUCGGAUUGUAAACUCCUGUUGUUGGGGAAGAUAAUGACGGUACCCAACAAGGAAGUGACGGCUAACUACGUG
Molecule: ribosomal RNA, 466 nt
Filed under: uncultured bacterium
Lineage: Bacteria
Description: partial 16S ribosomal RNA
Rfam family: Bacterial small subunit ribosomal RNA
Source: RNAcentral